Molecule: ribosomal RNA, 250 nt
Filed under: uncultured bacterium
Lineage: Bacteria
Description: partial 16S ribosomal RNA
Rfam family: Bacterial small subunit ribosomal RNA
Source: RNAcentral
UACGUAGGGUGCAAACGUUGUUCGGAAUCACUGGGCAUAAAGCGCGUGUAGGCGGUCCGGCAAGUCAGGUGUGAAAUCCCCCGGCCCAACCGGGGAACUGCAUUUGAUACUGCCGGGCUAGAGUGCAGGAGGGGAGAGCGGAAUUCCUGGUGUAGCGGUGAAAUGCGUAGAUAUCAGGAGGAACGCCGGUGGCGAAAGCGGCUCUCUGGCCUGCUACUGACGCUGAGGCGCGAAAGCUAGGGGAGCAAAC